AGGUUUAGUUGUUUUGUCUCCUCUUCCAGACUUCUCCAUCCUUAUUCCUCAACUUUGGACAACAUCUCCUCCGCUCCAUCUCCUAGCUAUCUUUUUCUCUCUAUUUUUUCUCCGACUUCUUUUUUAUUUGUUAAUAUCGAUUUGUUGCCGUUUAUAAAUGAUUCUCAUUGUUUUUUUUUUUUGCAGUUUUCUAUGAAGGUUUAGUUGAACAUGGGGAAAUCAAGAGUUGCUGCUCACAGAAAAACUGAUGCGAAGCUGGUUCAUAAGUUUCUCUGUCUUGAUUAUACUUAUCAUCAAUGUUGAAGAGUAAACGUGGAGAUGCGAGCAAGGAGGUUGUGAAGGAUCCGAACAAGCUUAAGAGGCAUGCAAGUGCCUUAUUCGUUGUCAUAUACGUUUCGUUUUUCCAAUGAUUUACUUUUUAAUUUUAUCUAGAGAGGAUGUUUUUGGCUAAAAAUUUUUAAGAUUUAUUUUCCACUUUGUUUCGAUUUUUGGACCUCUUGGUGUUUCAAAGACACAAACCAACACACAACCCACAUAUUAAUAACAUUAUCACUCCUACCUGUUAAUUUUAUUAUUUUUUUCAGAUAAAAUUUGAGGCCAAAGUUGUUCGCUUUUUUAGUUUCUGCUGCUGCUCGGCUGCCUUCAGACUAUGUAAUGAACUCUUCUUCCCCAAAUAUCUCUUCUUCUGAUUGUAUAAUCUUCAUGGUCUGUUUGGGCUGUUCGGAUUUCAAUUGGAUUCUCUCUGUUGGUUCUAUUUGAAUUUGGAAAAAUACAUAUGUUGCUUUUAUAGUUUGAUUAACAAUUCUAUUAGAAUUGGCUAAUUCUUUUACUAAGCAUUCGUUUGUACUCAUAUUUCUAACGUUGGAGGUUUAUUCUAAUUUAAGAUGGAAAUUGAUGUUAUGAAGAGUUUAAAAUGUCAGGUCGAAACACUGUCGUUCUGCAUGCAACUGAGCUUCUCAAUUUCUUAAUUUCUAAACAUUUGAGAUCUUCUUUGGUUCCUAUGCUAGCUUUGUGUGUCUCCAUCUCCAAAUAAUUUAGUUGAAAAUCACUAAUACGCAUGCAAAUUUGAAAGGGUUUUGAUCUUUCGAUGAGUUUAAAAUGUUUAUUGGUGGUUGGAUGUAUUGCUGUCAAAUAUUUGUUGGAUAGUUUGGAACGGAGAAGUUGGUUGAUUUAGAGAAACUGAAUACACAAGGAAUUUGGAAGAGUUUUUGGUCUUAUAUUGGUUUAAACUACUUUUUUGACAAUCAAGAGUACUGGAGGGAACUUUUGGUGUUCCAUUGAACAAUUUUUGUCAUAUUUUAUCAAUGUAAAUGACACAAUAUUUCUUAACGUUUUUUGCAUGUAAAUAGCCCAAAGUUCCAUAACCUUUUGUAUGUAAGUACUGCUGUUGAUCGAAAAUCACAAAAACUACCCAA
This is a non-coding RNA of Malus domestica (apple), 1415 nucleotides long. Lineage: Eukaryota; Viridiplantae; Streptophyta; Magnoliopsida; Rosales; Rosaceae. The record is from RefSeq and is a predicted model, not a curated record.